GUGAUCAAAUAAGUGUGUCUCUGUGAGCUCUGUAGUCCCUUUCGCUCCUGAAAUGGAAGAGAAGUAAGAUAACCCCAGCUGAGUAUCAGAACAGAUUUAUAAUUAUUGUUGCCCACAAGCAAAGGGUUCCCAGGAAAAUUGAAGAAAAAAAAAAAAAAAGAAAAAAAGAGAUUUUUAUUUCUUUCAUUUAGAUAAAAAAGAUUCUUUUAGCAGUCUGAUAGCAGCAGUGCCAUUUCACGCCUAAAUCAAAGGAGCACGCUCACACCCAGCUAACACACCGUCCUUGAGCCAGAGGGAGAAUGACUAUGGCUUCUGAACAGAAGGCGGUUUCCAGACCUCACAAGACUUGCCCCUGCCCUGGGUCAGGACCGUUUGCUUGGGAUUUUCCCCCCCUUCCAGUGCUGGGACUUGUGCCCUAAGCCCGAGGCCGCAGCAGCCCGGGGAGGGGACCGGCUGUGGGGCUGCAGCAACCAGGGGAGGGGAUGCAAAACCUGAAGCUGAGACGUUGGAAUUAUACGGGCAAAGACCGGGUCCUGUUUAUGUGGGUAUGGCUGCUGGAAUUAGAGUAGCCACGGGCUAACUGGCAGGUUUCAGGGAGCAGAGCUUUACGAUAGCACUCCGGAGGUUUCCUGGGACAAGCUGAAGUGAUGAGAGGAGGGCUUCCAGAGCACAUCUGCCGUGGCGUCGGCUGCGCCGAACCCGUCCUGCCCGCUGCCAAGUGAAUGCAACUAAAACAGCUGGUAACUAAAGCAGAAAUGAAGUGUUUACUGCCUAAACACAGCGCUCAAGGGAAAACUUCUAAAACCAGUGUUAUUUUCUCACAGACAAACAAGUGGUCGGAGCUUCCCGACAGCCCUAACGCAGCCACGCACAGCACUAACCUGGUGACUGGCACCCUGCUUCACCAGGCACCCCAUCAGAGUCAGAACAACCUGAAAACACCCUGCUCAUUGCAGUGUAAAACACACUACCGUUUUCUUUGUAAUGAAGGGAGCAUUUUGCACUUUUGUUGCCAUUUUCUUAAACAUUUCACUUCAGAAAAAAAUGUCCAUGCAAGUUUAAAACCUUCAAUUUCUUGCUUUAAAAUCCCAUGA
RNAcentral lists this long non-coding RNA (1094 nucleotides) under Anser cygnoides (Swan goose). RNAcentral describes it as "lncRNA (ENSACDG00005014974.1)". Lineage: Eukaryota; Metazoa; Chordata; Aves; Anseriformes; Anatidae. The record is from RNAcentral.